UGUGCUUGUACCGGGAGAGCC
RNAcentral lists this non-coding RNA (21 nucleotides) under Caenorhabditis elegans. Lineage: Eukaryota; Metazoa; Nematoda; Chromadorea; Rhabditida; Rhabditidae. The record is from RNAcentral.